AGAGUUUGAUCCUGGCUCAGGAUGAACGCUAGCUACAGGCUUAACACAUGCAAGUCGAGGGGCAGCAUGUCGGUUGCUUGCAACCAACGAUGGCGACCGGCGCACGGGUGAGUAACGCGUAUCCAACCUACCCUUGUCCAUCGGAUAACCCGUCGAAAGGCGGCCUAACACGAUAUGCGGUUCACAGCAGGCAUCUAACGUGAACGAAAUGUAAAGGAGAAGGAUGGGGAUGCGUCUGAUUAGCUUGUUGGCGGGGUAACGGCCCACAAGGCUACGAUCAGUAGGGGUUCUGAGAGGAAGGUCCCCCANAUUGGAACUGAGACACGGUCCAAACUCCGUACGGGAGCA
RNAcentral lists this ribosomal RNA (348 nucleotides) under uncultured bacterium. RNAcentral's name for it is "bacterial SSU rRNA". It matches the Rfam family "Bacterial small subunit ribosomal RNA", at positions 8 to 349 of the family's 1533-position model. The record is from RNAcentral.